RNA transcript from Cherax quadricarinatus, 1066 nucleotides. It is a transcript of the gene named glutathione peroxidase-like, with no coding region annotated. The record is from RefSeq and is a predicted model, not a curated record. Lineage: Eukaryota; Metazoa; Arthropoda; Malacostraca; Decapoda; Parastacidae.
GGCAUGCUCUGUGCAGUGUCCUCGUGCACUUGACCGUGAGAGGGCCAUGAAUCGCGUCCUGCCGCUGCUGGUGGGGGCGUCCCUGCUCACCCCUGGCCUGGGUGAGAUUUUCUCCCGACGUGAGUGUGGAGACGUCCAAGGGGACUUUUACCAGUUCUCCGCCAAGCUUCUGAAUGACUCUCAGGACAUCAACUUCGACCAGUUCAGAGGCAAGGUGGUUUUGGUGGUGAACGUAGCCACUUACUGAGGCCUCACCACCGCCUCCUACCACCAGAUGAAUGCACUGGCAGAGUUUUACGAAAACCAGGAUCUCGUCAUUCUUGGUUUUCCAUGUAACCAAUUUGGUAAGCAAGAGCCGGGAGCCAACGCCACAGAGAUCUUCAAUGGGAUCCAACAUGUCCGGCCUGGAGGAGGCUUCCAGACUAUGGUGACUCUCUUCCAGAAGACGGAGGUGAACGGCAUCAAUGAGAACAAGAUCUUCACGUUCUUGAAGAGUGCUUGUGAGUAUACAGACACAGACUUCUCGUCUAAAGUGUUCUACGAGCCAAAGAGAGUUGGGGACAUCCACUGGAAUUUCGAGAAGUUCCUAAUCGGUAGGAAUGGCAAGCCUCGAACCCGGUACCACCCCAGAGUAACUAACCCCGAGGAUCUCAAGAGCGACAUCAGUAAUCUGCUGUACGAACUGCCUCCUGAAGUUCCUGACGUUCCUGAGGACCCAGGCGUAAUUGUGACAACCAAAAAGCCUUUCCUGCGUAGAAUUUCUCAGCUCUUUAGCGGGUAGCCCACGUGUUGCCUCAGAACUUCCAGUUCCUCUUCCUAGCCACGCCCAUCCUGGUACAGCCCCGUCCAUGAUGACGCCGCUAAAAACCCUCAGGUGGGCGGCGUCUGAAGAAGUCAGGAGAAAGUAGCCUCUUGUGCAUUCUGGCUGCGAUUUUACUGCCUGCGGGAUGUUGUCCAGGCUGGGCCGGGCUGGAAGGGCUACUAGGACACUUAAUAUAAUACACAAAAGUUAGAUGAUUAUAUUCCAGUGAUAUAAAAUAUACUUAAUAAACUGUUUCUGUAUUUA